Molecule: small nuclear RNA, 333 nt
Filed under: Chinchilla lanigera (long-tailed chinchilla)
Lineage: Eukaryota; Metazoa; Chordata; Mammalia; Rodentia; Chinchillidae
Description: 7SK RNA (ENSCLAG00000021751.1)
Rfam family: 7SK RNA
About the family: 7SK was discovered as an abundant small nuclear RNA in the mid-70s but a possible function has only recently been suggested. Two independent studies have found that 7SK RNA binds the CDK9/cyclin T complex (known as elongation factor P-TEFb).
Source: Rfam by way of RNAcentral
GGAUGUGAGGAAGAUAUGUCUGCAACAUCUGUCACCACAUCGAUCUCCAGGGUUGACUUGGCUAAUCCGGCUGGCUGGGCGGGUGUCCUCUUCCCUGGUCCCUUCACCCAUGUGCCUUCCUCCUGAAGCUGCGGGCUCACACUGCACUUGGGUGGGGUGCAAGAGGAGGACCAUCGCAGAUAGAGGAGGCCUUUUCCUAGGCAAAGCAUAUAGGAGUAGCUGCUCCUCCCUGCCAAAACCUCUCAAAAGAUCUCCCCAAAUGUACAAUACAGCAUGUGACUAGCUCUAGAAAGAUGAUGUCAUAAACAAAUACUAUGAUGUUCUAGUUCCUUU